GCUUGUCUCAAAGAUUAAGCCAUGCAUGUCUAAGUAUAACUCUUUUACUUUGAAAACUGCGAACGGCUCAUUAUAUCAGUUAUAGUUUCUUUGAUAGUCCCUUACUACUUGGAUACCCGUAGUAAUUCUAGAGCUAAUACAUGCAUCAAUACCCAACUGUUCGCGGAAGGGUAGUAUUUAUUAGGUAUAGACCAACCCUCUUCGGAGGUGCUUUGGUGAUUCAUAAUAACUGUUCGAAUCGCACGGGCAACCGGCGAUAGUUCAUUCAAAUUUCUGCCCUAUCAGCUUUCGACGGUAGUGUAGUGGACUACCGUGGCGUUAACGGGUAACGGAGAAUUAGGGUUCGAUUCCGGAGAGGGAGCCUGAGAAACGGCUACCACAUCCAAGGAAGGCAGCAGG
Molecule: ribosomal RNA, 399 nt
Filed under: uncultured Tintinnidium
Lineage: Eukaryota; Ciliophora; Spirotrichea; Tintinnida; Tintinnidae
Description: partial small subunit ribosomal RNA
Rfam family: Eukaryotic small subunit ribosomal RNA
Source: RNAcentral